Molecule: ribosomal RNA, 450 nt
Filed under: uncultured bacterium
Lineage: Bacteria
Description: partial 16S ribosomal RNA
Rfam family: Bacterial small subunit ribosomal RNA
Source: RNAcentral
GUGGGGAAUUUUGGACAAUGGGCGAAAGCCUGAUCCAGCCAUGCCGCGUGCAGGAUGAAGGCCUUCGGGUUGUAAACUGCUUUUGUACGGAACGAAAAGACUCCUUCUAAUAAAGGGGGUCCAUGACGGUACCGUAAGAAUAAGCACCGGCUAACUACGUGCCAGCAGCCGCGGUAAUACGUAGGGUGCAAGCGUUAAUCGGAAUUACUGGGCGUAAAGCGUGCGCAGGCGGUUAUAUAAGACAGAUGUGAAAUCCCCGGGCUCAACCUGGGAACUGCAGUUGUGACUGUAUAGCUAGAGUACGGUAGAGGGGGAUGGAAUUCCGCGUGUAGCAGUGAAAUGCGUAGAUAUGCGGAGGAACACCGAUGGCGAAGGCAAUCCCCUGGACCUGUACUGACGCUCAUGCACGAAAGCGUGGGGAGCAAACAGGAUUAGAUACCCUAGUAGUCC